UCCUACGGGGGGCAGCAGGCGCGAAACCUCCGCAAUGCGAGCAAUCGCGACGGGGGGACCCCAAGUGCCACUCUUAACGGGGUUGCUUUUCUUAAGUGUAAAAAGCUUUUGGAAUAAGGGCUGGGCAAGACCGGUGCCAGCCGCCGCGGUAACACCGGCAGCUCUAGUGGUAGCCAUUUUUAUUGGGCCUAAAGCGUUCGUAGCCGGUUUGAUAAGUCUCUGGUGAAAUCCUAUAGCUUAACUGUGGGACUUGCUGGAGAUACUAUUAGACUUGAGGUCGGGAGAGGUUAGCGGUACUCCCAGGGUAGGGGUGAAAUCCUGUAAUCCUGGGAGGACCACCUGUGGCGAAGGCGGCUAACUGGAACGAACCUGACGGUGAGGGACGAAAGCCAGGGGCGCGAACCGGAUUAGAUACCCUAGUAGUCC
RNAcentral lists this ribosomal RNA (426 nucleotides) under uncultured Methanobacteriaceae archaeon. RNAcentral describes it as "bacterial SSU rRNA". It matches the Rfam family "Archaeal small subunit ribosomal RNA", at positions 321 to 747 of the family's 1478-position model. Lineage: Archaea; Methanobacteriati; Methanobacteriota; Methanobacteria; Methanobacteriales; Methanobacteriaceae. The record is from RNAcentral.